AUUGAACGCUGGCGGCAUGCCUUACACAUGCAAGUCGAACGGCAGCACGGGUGCUUGCACCUGGUGGCGAGUGGCGAACGGGUGAGUAAUACAUCGGAACAUGUCCUGUAGUGGGGGAUAGCCCGGCGAAAGCCGGAUUAAUACCGCAUACGAUCUACGGAUGAAAGCGGGGGACCUUCGGGCCUCGCGCUAUAGGGUUGGCCGAUGGCUGAUUAGCUAGUUGGUGGGGUAAAGGCCUACCAAGGCGACGAUCAGUAGCUGGUCUGAGAGGACGACCAGCCACACGGGGAUGGAGACAGGGCCCAGCCCCCUACGGGAGGCAGCAGGGGGGAUUUUUGGAAAAGGGGGGAAAGCUUGACCAAGAAAUGCCGCGUGUGGGAAGAAGGCCUUGGGGUGGUAAAGCGUUUUUGCCGGGAAAAAAAUCUUGGCCCCAAAUACGGGCGGGGGAGGAGGGUACGGAAAGAAAAAGCCCCGGCAAACUCCGUG
RNAcentral lists this ribosomal RNA (486 nucleotides) under uncultured bacterium. Its description in RNAcentral is "partial 16S ribosomal RNA". It matches the Rfam family "Bacterial small subunit ribosomal RNA", at positions 29 to 507 of the family's 1533-position model. The record is from RNAcentral.